This is a long non-coding RNA of Dreissena polymorpha, 899 nucleotides long. RefSeq lists it as uncharacterized. The transcript has 2 exons. NCBI's taxonomy places the organism in Eukaryota, Metazoa, Mollusca, Bivalvia, Myida, Dreissenidae. The record is from RefSeq and is a predicted model, not a curated record.
UCCAUUACAUUUGGGGUUAGGCUGGGUAGAUUUUCAGAGACCCGUAUGAUGCGGUGCUGAAAUAAGCUUUGGAAUUUAAUUUUCCAACUUAAAAUUAAUCCCUCCUUACUAAAUUCAUAUCUUCAUGUUAAGUAAAAUGACACAUCGAAAGGAAAACCAUCUUCAUGUAUCGGAAAAUGGUCCACUGAAGCGUGUGAAGAAACUGUAUUUUGAUGAUGAAACACUUCCAGUGCCACAUUCUACGCACUAUUGGAGACAGACUACACAAAUAAACUACACAAAUAUCUGAAUAAUGUUAUGAAAAAGAUGGAUGAAAUCCACCUAUUACAGUUACCAGAAGCUCCUGUAGUUAGUCACCUAAUUCCAGUUUAGUUCGUUGAGAUUCUUGUGAUGGUGAAUGUUGAGGAACUCUGUGAAGUCCUAGUGUUUUAAUUGACACAAGAUUACAUGCAAAUUCAGAAGACACUAAGUAUGCAGAAUUCCGAACAGAUACAGUAAUUUUUUUUUUAAAUAAUGUGUAAUUUGGUGACAAAUUAUAGUCAGUUAUAUACAUGUAUAUGUAUGUGUGUAGCAGAAGAUUUUGUAAGGACUUAAAGGAGAAGUACUUUUUGGUAUUUCAGGGAUAAUUUUCUCCAGUUCUCCAUAAAAGCUUAUGUUUGGAUACUCAUUAGGAGUGCCUCGUAACAUUGUUUCUAGUGAGUACCCACAUAAUGUUUUAGGAUUAGAAAUAAGACAAAGUAUCCCAGACCUAUCAACAAACACUCCUCCUUAACAUUAGUCCUCUGUUUGUGUAUGAUAUAUAUAUAUCUCAUGAUAUGACAGCAAUAUCUUGCAGACACCACAGCAAGCAAAGUUUCAAUGUGAAAAUUGUUUUGAAAUAUAAUUUGAAAGAAGUCAAA